CCUGCCAUCUGUUUUGCUCUGUCUGAGCUUUUUCCAGUUCAUAUCCUUCCUGAAGAUGAGCUCUGGGCCCACAAUAGACCUUUGUGAGGAUUGGGCCAGAGGUGGCUGAAUGAGGUUCUGGGAAGCAUUAAAAGCCCCAGGCAAAUGAACAGGUAUCCAAGGACAUCUCCAUGCGGCUGCACAAGGAGCUCGAGGUGGUGGAGAAGAAGCGGGGCACGGCUGGAGGAGGAGAACGAGGAGCUUCGGCAGCGGCUCAUUGAGACCGAGCUGGCCAAGCAGGUGCUACAGACGGAGCUAGAACGGCCAAGAGAGCAUUCCUUGAAGAAAAGAGGAACCCGCUCCCUGGGGAAGACAGACAAGAAGUCUUCUGCACAGGUACUGCCUGGGAGCCCUGCAGGCAGGUCAUAGUCUGAAGGCCUCAGCCUAACUUCAUGUGGCCAGGGGAGUUCCCAAAGAUGCUCAGCCCUCCCCAACUUCUACCCUGUCCUUCGCUUGUUCAUUUUUUUGGCUUCACUGCCCACUGCACUUCCCAGAACCACAGUCUGAGCCCGGGGUUCUUAUAUGUUCAGGCUUCCUUGGGCCCCAGACUUUCUGAUGACAAACAAAUCCGAAGGUCCAGGGUCGGAACCUUGACUUUACCACUUGAUUGCCUUAUGAUUGGGUUGAGUCACUUGAGCUUUCUGGCUUCAGUUUCCUCAUCAAUCCCUAUCUUGUGGGCCUAUUGCAAGAAUUUGAUAAAGUGAUGCAUGUUGCAGAGGCAAAGCACAGAAUAGCAUUAUCUGCUGGGUCCUAAGGGAGGCUGGGGUACCAAGGACUUUUAUACAUUAUCUCUUUUAAUCCUAUCCAUGGCUGCCUGAGAAAGGCAGUUAUUUCCACACAUCUUAUGUGGUAGAAGGGGCUAGGGAUGUAGCUCGGUGAUAGCAGGCACAAAGCCCUGGGUUCAAGCUCUAACACAUUAAAAAAUAAAGGAAUGGUGGUAGUAGCACCAGCAGCAGUCAUCUGCUCUCAAACUCCAGCCUGUGGGUGCUGUUCCAUCCUUGCUACAAUAUCUGGGCAUGGU
This 1060-nucleotide long non-coding RNA is filed under the name Heterocephalus glaber (naked mole-rat). RNAcentral's name for it is "lncRNA (ENSHGLG00000050379.1)". The record is from RNAcentral. Lineage: Eukaryota; Metazoa; Chordata; Mammalia; Rodentia; Bathyergidae.